AGGGAGGAUGAUACGAUAACUUAGAGUGUGGUAGGGGAGAUCGGAAUUCCUGGUGUAGCGGUGAAAUGCGCAGAUAUCAGGAGGAACACCGGUGGCGAAGGCGGAUCUCUGGGCCAUUACUGACGCUGAGGAGCGAAAGCGUGGGGAGCGAACAGGAUUAGAUACCCUGGUAGUCCACGCCGUAAACGGUGGGAACUAGGUGUUGGCGACAU
RNAcentral lists this ribosomal RNA (212 nucleotides) under Streptomyces neyagawaensis. Its description in RNAcentral is "partial 16S ribosomal RNA". It matches the Rfam family "Bacterial small subunit ribosomal RNA", at positions 620 to 832 of the family's 1533-position model. Lineage: Bacteria; Bacillati; Actinomycetota; Actinomycetes; Kitasatosporales; Streptomycetaceae. The record is from RNAcentral.